GUCUCGAUAGCUAAGUGGUAUAGCAUGCGAUUGCAGCGAGUAAUCACUUAUCGCAGGGUCCGGUGUUCGAACCACCGUCGGGACU
Molecule: transfer RNA, 85 nt
Filed under: Galerina marginata CBS 339.88
Lineage: Eukaryota; Fungi; Basidiomycota; Agaricomycetes; Agaricales; Galerinaceae
Rfam family: tRNA
About the family: Transfer RNA (tRNA) molecules are approximately 80 nucleotides in length. Their secondary structure includes four short double-helical elements and three loops (D, anti-codon, and T loops).
Source: Rfam by way of RNAcentral